AACGAACGCUGGCGGCAUGCCUAACACAUGCAAGUCGAACGAGACCUUCGGGUCUAGUGGCGCACGGGUGCGUAACGCGUGGGAAUCUGCCCUUGGGUUCGGAAUAACAGUUGGAAACGACUGCUAAUACCGGAUGAUGACGUAAGUCCAAAGAUUUAUCGCCCAAGGAUGAGCCCGCGUAGGAUUAGCUAGUUGGUGAGGUAAAGGCUCACCAAGGCGACGAUCCUUAGCUGGUCUGAGAGGAUGAUCAGCCACACUGGGACUGAGACACGGCCCAGACUCCUACGGGAGGCAGCAGUGGGGAAUAUUGGACAAUGGGCGAAAGCCUGAUCCAGCAAUGCCGCGUGAGUGAUGAAGGCCUUAGGGUUGUAAAGCUCUUUUACCCGGGAUGAUAAUGACAGUACCGGGAGAAUAAGCUCCGGCUGACUCCGUG
RNAcentral lists this ribosomal RNA (433 nucleotides) under uncultured bacterium. Its description in RNAcentral is "partial 16S ribosomal RNA". It matches the Rfam family "Bacterial small subunit ribosomal RNA", at positions 29 to 507 of the family's 1533-position model. The record is from RNAcentral.